RNAcentral lists this ribosomal RNA (388 nucleotides) under uncultured bacterium. RNAcentral describes it as "bacterial SSU rRNA". It matches the Rfam family "Bacterial small subunit ribosomal RNA", at positions 28 to 417 of the family's 1533-position model. The record is from RNAcentral.
GACGAACGCUGGCGGCGUGCUUAACACAUGCAAGUCGAGCGGUAAGGCCCUUUCGGGGGUACACGAGCGGCGAACGGGUGAGUAACACGUGGGUGACCUGCCCUCAGCUCUGGGAUAAGCCUGGGAAACCGGGUCUAAUACCGGAUAUGACUCCAUGACGCAUGUUGUGGGGCGGAAAGCCUUGUGCGGCUGAGGAUGGGCCCGCGGCCUAUCAGCUUGUUGGUGGGGUGAUGGCCUACCAAGGCGACGACGGGUAGCCGGCCUGAGAGGGCGACCGGCCACACUGGGACUGAGACACGGCCCAGACUCCUACGGGAGGCAGCAGUGGGGAAUCUUGCGCAAUGGGCGAAAGCCUGACGCAGCGACGCCGCGUGAGGGAUGACGGCCU